This 240-nucleotide ribosomal RNA is filed under the name uncultured bacterium. Its description in RNAcentral is "partial 16S ribosomal RNA". It matches the Rfam family "Bacterial small subunit ribosomal RNA", at positions 523 to 762 of the family's 1533-position model. The record is from RNAcentral.
AUACGGAGGGUGCGAGCGUUGUUCGGAAUCACUGGGCGUAAAGCGCGUGUAGGCGGUUUGAUAAGUCGAGUGUGAAAGCCCAAGGCUCAACCUUGGAAGUGCACUCGAAACUGUCAGGCUUGAGUACGGGAGAGGGAAGUGGAAUUCCUGGUGUAGAGGUGAAAUUCGUAGAUAUCAGGAGGAACACCGGUGGCGAAGGCGGCUUCCUGGACCGAUACUGACGCUGAGACGCGAAAGCGU